Molecule: ribosomal RNA, 253 nt
Filed under: uncultured bacterium
Lineage: Bacteria
Description: partial 16S ribosomal RNA
Rfam family: Bacterial small subunit ribosomal RNA
Source: RNAcentral
UACGAAGGGGGCGAGCGUUGUUCGGAAUUACUGGGCGUAAAGGGCGCGUAGGCGGUCGGCCGCGUCAGAUGUGAAAGCCCCGGGCUCAACCUGGGAACCGCAUUUGAGACGGGUCGACUCGAGUUCGGGAGAGGAUGGUGGAAUUCCCAGUGUAGAGGUGAAAUUCGUAGAUAUUGGGAAGAACACCGAGGGCGAAGGCAGCCAUCUGGACCGACACUGACGCUGAGGCGCGAAAGCCAGGGGAGCAAACGGG